RNAcentral lists this ribosomal RNA (252 nucleotides) under uncultured bacterium. RNAcentral's name for it is "partial 16S ribosomal RNA". It matches the Rfam family "Bacterial small subunit ribosomal RNA", at positions 524 to 776 of the family's 1533-position model. The record is from RNAcentral.
UACGUAGGGGGCAAGCGUUAUCCGGAUUUAUUGGGUUUAAAGGGUGCGUAGGCGGACGCUUAAGUCAGCGGUAAAAUUGCGGGGCUCAACCUCGUCGAGCCGUUGAAACUGGGUGUCUUGAGUGGGCGAGAAGUACGCGGAAUGCGUGGUGUAGCGGUGGAAUGCAUAGAUAUCACGCAGAACUCCGAUUGCGAAGGCAGCGUACCGGCGCCCAACUGACGCUGAAGCACGAAGGCGUGGGUAUCGAACAGG